Long non-coding RNA from Polypterus senegalus (gray bichir), 1241 nucleotides. RefSeq lists it as uncharacterized. The transcript has 7 exons. The record is from RefSeq and is a predicted model, not a curated record. Lineage: Eukaryota; Metazoa; Chordata; Cladistia; Polypteriformes; Polypteridae.
UGCUUAAUUAAGGUGAUUAAUUAACUAGUCUUGUAUUGAGUUUAGGGCCUAUAUGACACUGUUGGCCCCCUUUAUCCUCUUAUGUCUAUUUUUUGUGUCCUUAGGUUUUGGGUAUGUUAUGGGUUAGUACUCUCAUCCUUUGAGGUUGGAGUCCCCCUUGCUUCUUUUCAGUGAUUGAAGAGUUAUUUUUUUGUGUGUAUUGGGCCUUAGGCCUGUACGAGAUUAGAGACCUUUUCUUUAACAGGUGUCUCUAGGGUUUUGGGUAUGUUAUGGGUUGGUACUCUCAUCCUUUGAGGUUGGAGUCCCCCUUGCUUUUUUUCAGUGGUUGAAGAAUUGUUUAUUUGAGUUUUUUAGGCCUUAGGCCUGUACGAGGUUAGAGACCCUUUCUUUAAGUUGUCUCUAGGCAAAAACACUCAGCAAGGUUUUCCCUAUAAGGAAGAAAAAAACCCAUCAUCUACCUUUUGAGCUGAUGGCUCGUGGAACCCGAAUUACAGAUUUGACUCCUAUGUAGCAGAACUGUUUGUUUAAACAACUCCUUAUUCCGGGUAAUUUCCUUAGAGAGUUAAUGUCUUUUGAUUCUAAGGCCUUAGGCCUGUACGAGAUUAGAGACCCUUUCUUUACCAGUUGUCUCUAGGGCUUGUAUGAAUUUGAGACUUUUUCUUUAACAGAUGUCUCUGGAGUAAAAGGCCUGUACGGGAUUAGAGACCCUUUCAUUAACAGGUGUCUCUAGGGUUCUCCUGCCCUCAGGAUCCUGGUCUGAGUCCUAGAACCUUAAUAUUUCAACCUCUAUGGUUGGUGGAGAGAAGAGAUUGAAAAUACAAGACAAAACAUUCAUAUGUCCAUACAUUUUAAAACCAGUUUUUGUAAUUCGUUCAGUUUUUCCUUUUGGAUAUACUUAUUCUUUUACAACAAGUUGUUUUGUCCUUUAAUAAAAGCAAAGGAAACUUAUCAAAAAGAUAUGUAUUUUUUUAUUCUUUUGUUUUCUUCAAAGGAAACUUAUUUUCAGUCCAUAAUUAUAUUUGGGAAGGAAGGUUCAUUAAAUCCUUUUUAACAAGAUUGUUUUGUUUUUGUAAAAAGUAAAGGAAACUUAUUCAAAGGAAACUUAUAAGGUUGUUAUUGAUAUUCCUCUUUCUUUUGGUGUCUUUUAUAUUUUUGUUUUUUAGGUGUUAGUUGAUCAAAUCAGCAUUGGGUGAAGGCCUUCCCUUAGUCCCCCAGCUUCUUCAACAAAACCAUGAUGGACC